AGGGAUGUAGUUAAUCAUAACAUUUGGUUUGCAUCCAAAAAGUACUAUUUUAUAGUCUUCCUUA
RNAcentral lists this transfer RNA (64 nucleotides) under Triops granarius. Its description in RNAcentral is "tRNA-Ala". It matches the Rfam family "tRNA". From Rfam's summary of the family: Transfer RNA (tRNA) molecules are approximately 80 nucleotides in length. Their secondary structure includes four short double-helical elements and three loops (D, anti-codon, and T loops). Lineage: Eukaryota; Metazoa; Arthropoda; Branchiopoda; Notostraca; Triopsidae. The record is from RNAcentral.